Long non-coding RNA from Zea mays, 613 nucleotides. RefSeq lists it as uncharacterized. The record is from RefSeq and is a predicted model, not a curated record. Lineage: Eukaryota; Viridiplantae; Streptophyta; Magnoliopsida; Poales; Poaceae. The transcript has 2 exons.
AGCUUCCUUUGGCCUUCACUAAUUGGUAGGGAGCCAGCCAAACUGGUGGUAGCAAACUGGCGGGAGCAGGGAGCCAGCUAACCAGCUAGAACGAAGUGCCGAGCGCCGUGCGCCGUGCGUGACUACACACAGGGGGGAGGAAGAGCGACGCGCCAGUGCCUGCUGUGGCGAGCGAAGGGAGUGUCGUCUAGGCGUCCAUCGUGCGCCGCCGCCUUGUGGGCCUGUGAGGAGGCCGAGCCGCUACCCCGUCGAGGAGAAGGAACGCCGUGAGCAAAGGCCAAGCAGCCGAGGGGAGAAGUCGCCAUGGCCCGUGUGCGUGCGCGGAGGCCGAGCACCGAGGGGAGCGGCGGCGGAGGACCUGAGUCCGGACACGAGCUACGCUUACACUGGGUCUGUACGCCGAUUCGAGAUCUGAAAAUGAAGAGAAAGAAGACUGCUACUACUGAUUCGAUAGCUUUUUUUUAGCAACAGCUGCUGCAAAAAAGAAACAAUCUGCAAGUGAGACAUUGACAGUAGCUACUUAAUUAUGUCAAAUAAUACUUUGACAUUUUGAGUGUUGAACAAUACCAUUUUAUGAUAUAUUCUUUGUUGCGUGAAUUAUUAUGAUUUAUUU